AAAAGAAUUAGUUAAAUUUCAUAACAUUAGAAUGUCAAACUAAAAUUAUUAAUUAAUUAAUAUUCUUU
Molecule: transfer RNA, 68 nt
Filed under: Harpalinae sp. 3 ACP-2013
Lineage: Eukaryota; Metazoa; Arthropoda; Insecta; Coleoptera; Carabidae
Description: tRNA-Asp
Source: RNAcentral